This 591-nucleotide ribosomal RNA is filed under the name uncultured Wilcoxina. RNAcentral describes it as "eukaryotic LSU rRNA". The stretch from base 236 to 389 matches the Rfam family "5.8S ribosomal RNA". The record is from RNAcentral. Lineage: Eukaryota; Fungi; Ascomycota; Pezizomycetes; Pezizales; Pyronemataceae.
AAGUCGUAACAAGGUUUCCGUAGGUGAACCUGCGGAAGGAUCAUUAAAAGUAUAUAGUUAUACGUUCUCUGUAUCGACUAAAUAUACCCAUUCCGAGUACCUUGCCUGUUGCUUCCAUGGAGCCUGACACAUGUCACUCUGGGGAUUUACAUCCCGAGGGAGCCUCCGUGGAAGGUAAUCAAUUAACUCUUGAAUCCAAUGUCAUCUGUCUGAUAAUGUUUAAAACAAAUGUUAAAACUUUCAACAACGGAUCUCUUGGUUCUCGCAUCGAUGAAGAACGCAGCGAAAUGCGAUAAGUAGUGUGAAUUGCAGAAUUCAGUGAAUCAUCGAAUCUUUGAACGCACAUUGCGCCUCCUGGUAUUCCGGGAGGCAUGCCUGUUCGAGCGUCAUUAAAUACCACUCAAGCUCUUCUGCUUGGUCAUGGAAGAAGAGUAUGCUUGCAUCCUCUCUUCUGAAAUCGAAUGGCGGACCGCCUCAUGUGCCUCGCGUAGUAAGUUCAUCUUUUCGCUGGGAGUGUGAGACAGUCUCGCCAUCAACCCCCAUACUUCUAAGGUUGACCUCGGAUCAGGUAGGGGUACCCGCUGAACUUAA